AACGAACGCUGGCGGCGCGUCUUAAGCAUGCAAGUCGAACGGUAAGGGAGAGCUUGCUCUCCCCUAGAGUGGCGGACUGGUGAGUAACGCGUGGGUGACCUGCCCUGAAGAUGGGGAUAGCUAGUAGAAAUAUUAGAUAAUACCGAAUGUGCUCAUUUACAUAAAGGUAAAUGAGGAAAGGAGCUACGGCUCCGCUUCAGGAUGGGCCCGCGUCCCAUUAGCUGGUUGGUGAGGUAAAGGCUCACCAAGGCAACGAUGGGUAUCCGGCCUGAGAGGGUGAACGGACACAUUGGGACUGAGAUACGGCCCAAACUCCUACGGGAGGCAGCAGCUAAGAAUCUUCCGCAAUGGACGAAAGUCUGACGGAGCGACGCCGUGUGAAUGAAGAAGGCCGAAAGGUUGUAAAAUUCUUUUGCAGAUGAAGAAUAAGAAGAGAAUGCUUCUUUGAUGACGGUAAUCAUGCGAAUAAGCCCCGGCUAAUUACGUGCCAGCAGCCGCGGUAACACGUAAGGGGCGAGCGUUGUUCGGAAUUAUUGGGCGUAAAGGGUAUGUAGGCGGUUAGGUAAGCCUGGUGUGAAAUCUACGAGCUCAACUCGUAAACUGCAUUGGGUACUGCUUGACUUGAAUCACGGAGGGGAAACCGGAAUUCCAAGUGUAGGGGUGGAAUCUGUAGAUAUUUGGAAGAACACCGGUGGCGAAGGCGGGUUUCUGCCGAUGAUUGACGCUGAUAUACGAAGGUGCGGGGAGCAAACAGGAUUAGAUACCCUGUAGUCCGCACAGUAAACGAUGUACACUAGGUGUCGGGGCAAGAGCUUCGGUGCCGACGCAAACGCAUUAAGUGUACCGCCUGGGAAGUAUGCCCGCAAGGGUGAAACUCAAAGGAAUUGACGGGGGCCCACACAAAGCGGUGGAGCAUGUGGUUUAAUUCGAUGAUACGCGAGAAACCUUACCUGGGUUUGACAUCAAGAGCAAUGACAUAGAGAUA
RNAcentral lists this ribosomal RNA (985 nucleotides) under Treponema denticola. Its description in RNAcentral is "bacterial SSU rRNA". It matches the Rfam family "Bacterial small subunit ribosomal RNA", at positions 28 to 1008 of the family's 1533-position model. Lineage: Bacteria; Pseudomonadati; Spirochaetota; Spirochaetia; Treponematales; Treponemataceae. The record is from RNAcentral.